UUCAAGAUGAGAUCUGCCGGGGCCUUGAGCCCCCUGAAGAGUCGUUCAAGACCAGGACGUUGAUAGGUCGGGUGUGGAAGCGCAGUAAUGCGUUAAGCUAACCGAUACUAAUUGCUCGUGCGGCUUGACCCUAUAACUUUG
Molecule: ribosomal RNA, 141 nt
Filed under: Limnohabitans planktonicus II-D5
Lineage: Bacteria; Pseudomonadati; Pseudomonadota; Betaproteobacteria; Burkholderiales; Comamonadaceae
Description: partial 23S ribosomal RNA
Rfam family: Bacterial large subunit ribosomal RNA
Source: RNAcentral